CACGUAGGGGGCGAGCGUUGUCCGGAUUUAUUGGGCGUAAAGAGCGUGUAGGCGGCUAUACAGGUCCGUUGUGAAAACUCGAGGCUCAACCUCGAGACGCCGAUGGAAACCGUAUGGCUAGAGUCCGGAAGAGGAGAGCGGAAUUCCUGGUGUAGCGGUGAAAUGCGCAGAUAUCAGGAGGAACACCAAUUGCGAAGGCAGCUCGCUGGGACGUUACUGACGCUGAGACGCGAAAGCGUGGGGAGCAAACAGG
RNAcentral lists this ribosomal RNA (253 nucleotides) under uncultured bacterium. RNAcentral's name for it is "partial 16S ribosomal RNA". It matches the Rfam family "Bacterial small subunit ribosomal RNA", at positions 524 to 776 of the family's 1533-position model. The record is from RNAcentral.